This 253-nucleotide ribosomal RNA is filed under the name uncultured bacterium. RNAcentral describes it as "partial 16S ribosomal RNA". It matches the Rfam family "Bacterial small subunit ribosomal RNA", at positions 524 to 776 of the family's 1533-position model. The record is from RNAcentral.
UACAGAGGGGGCAAGCGUUGUUCGGAAUUACUGGGCGUAAAGGGCGCGUAGGCGGCCUUCUAAGUCGAACGUGAAAUCCCCGGGCUCAACCCGGGAACUGCGUCCGAUACUGGAAGGCUUGAAUUCGGGAGAGGGAUGCGGAAUUCCAGGUGUAGCGGUGAAAUGCGUAGAUAUCAGGAGGAACACCAGCGGCGAAGGCGGCGCUCUGGGCCGGUACUGACACUGAGGAGCGAAAGCGUGGGGAUCAAACAGG